AACAUUUGGAAACAGAUGCUAAUACCGCAUAACAACGUUGUUCGCAUGAACAACGCUUAAAAGAUGGCUUCUCGCUAUCACUUCUGGAUGGACCUGCGGUGCAUUAGCUUGUUGGUGGGGUAACGGCCUACCAAGGCGAUGAUGCAUAGCCGAGUUGAGAGACUGAUCGGCCACAAUGGGACUGAGACACGGCCCAUACUCCUACGGGAGGCAGCAGUAGGGAAUCUUCCACAAUGGGCGCAAGCCUGAUGGAGCAACACCGCGUGAGUGAAGAAGGGUUUCGGCUCGUAAAGCUCUGUUGUUAAAGAAGAACACGUAUGAGAGUAACUGUUCAUACGUUGACGGUAUUUAACCAGAAAGUCACGGCUAACUACGUGCCAGCAGCCGCGGUAAUACGUAGGUGGCAAGCGUUAUCCGGAUUUAUUGGGCGUAAAGAGAGUGCAGGCGGUUUUCUAAGUCUGAUGUGAAAGCCUUCGGCUUAACCGGAGAAGUGCAUCGGAAACUGGAUAACUUGAGUGCAGAAGAGGGUAGUGGAACUCCAUGUGUAGCGGUGGAAUGCGUAGAUAUAUGGAAGAACACCAGUGGCGAAGGCGGCUACCUGGUCUGCAACUGACGCUGAGACUCGAAAGCAUGGGUAGCGAACAGGAUUAGAUACCCUGGUAGU
This 664-nucleotide ribosomal RNA is filed under the name uncultured bacterium. RNAcentral's name for it is "bacterial SSU rRNA". It matches the Rfam family "Bacterial small subunit ribosomal RNA", at positions 145 to 794 of the family's 1533-position model. The record is from RNAcentral.